CUAAAAAUAUUAAAAUAAAAGAAAUGACCGUUUUACGAAGCAGAAACUGGUGCGAAAGUGGAUGGUUUUCAACGUAGAAUCGUAAUUUGGAAAAAUGUUUGGAAAACGAGGUAGAUGGUAGGUGUUGGAGAAAGAAAAACAGAGAGAAACAGGCUGUUAGCGUCUAAUGAAUGGAUCGCGACGAGUGAUCUAUUCCGCGUCUAGGAUCGUCGUAGAUCUCGGGCUGCCACGCCCGGACGCGACAGAAUUUAAAGCGUCUAUUUAUAAAGAGUGAACGAACGGCAUGGUACCGGGCAACGUUAAAACACAUCGGGUCAGAACGCGAACGUAAACGUGCGAUAUGCGUGCACAUUGUGCUGAUCCGGUUAAUUCUGGGAUGGAGCAAAGAGGAGCAAAAAAGCCAGGAGCGAGUGAUUAUUAGCAUCAGGCACCCAAACGAUUAUAUCCGCCACUGGUUACAGUAUGGAUUUCCAGAUCCUCGUCAAGAAGCGAGUUACAUAGCGAACAAGCAUCUUCUUUAACGUGAUUCUUUAACGUCCCUCCACGUAACGACGUUUUCGAGUAGCGACCACUUUCAAAUGGACAGAAUUAACGUAUCCAGUUGACAACAACGUCAAGAGGCAACAACAUGGCGGCAAGUAAUAAUAAUUGGCGGAAGCGAAGAGACAGAGAAGAGAAGAAUUUGAAAGCCGACGCCCAACGUUAAUCCCGUUUCAGUGGAAAGAAAGGCGCAUCGGGAAAUGAGAAAAGUCGGGAGAGGAAGCAAUUGCGACUGGUUUUUCAUGGUAUUCGUGAUUAUUCGGUGGAAAGGAACAAAAGAAGAGGCAAUACCGGUGGAUGAUGCGCCAUGGCACAAGGCCCGUGUGCCAUUCGUUUCUCCGUGCCUGUGCAUCGUUCCUCUUGUUGCGCUAGAACGGUUGACAUAUUUCUUUUAGCGGUACACAGAGACGAGAAGAGAAGCCUAGCCGACGUUUCUCCUCCAUUCUUCUUCUAUUCCUUUGGCCUAGCAACGCCAGUCAUUACCAGCGCCGCCAUCAACCACACGCUGUCAUUGUCUGGACGCACUUUGCCGAUGCACGCGACAACGUUCGUUUGAAACGCGACUUUAAUUGCGUAACACCCGGCCGCCUGUCCGUUUUCACAGCGAAACGAAUUAAGACAACGAUCACGUGUACCCCAUCGUUCACCGAGAACAGUUUUCAUGCCAUUCGUGACGCUCUAAAAUAGUUCAUCUCUGUCCGAGGCAAAUUGGAAAGCAAAGGAACGAACUUGUUGCGCUUUGUUUCGUUUUAAAGUGGAUUUGUCGAGGCUGCUUUAUAGAAAAUGAUAAAAGAUCACGUGAUGUAUCGAUCGCUUGCAAUAAAAAAGACAUCGCCUAUUAUAUGUACUUGGCUUUACUCCUGUGUGUAUUUAUAAUUCAACUUCUGAUAUUUUCGGGUGUAUAUAUGUAUAUGUAUGAAAAUAUAGUAAUAUAGGUUCGUUAUUUUAUAAAUCGUUCAUUAUUUUGGAGAAACUGACGCAGAAGGAAAAACAGAAAGUAAUUACUAUACGGACGUGCAUUGUGCGUCACAGAGCCGUGUGACCCAGAAAUACAAAUAUUAAAUCAAAGUUGAAGAACCACUUACUAAUUGACGACUAAAGUAUAAAACACGUGCCGGAGAGAUUAAAAUGAACGAUAUGCUAAACAGAAUAUGUAUAGUACAAAGAAAAUGAAAACGAGUCUUUGUUCAUACACCUCGUAAAGGAACAUUCAAAAAGAUUCUUAAAAAUACAUCGCAGUGAAUCUAGGAAAUUUCCAAGAAGAAUUAUAAACCGGUCACUUUAACCACUCUGCUAGUUCUAACAAUAUCAGGUUCAUUUACCGCGAAACCCUAACUGCUCGUUCGCGUUCAACGAUAUUUCACGAGGGCGCUCACGCCCCUUCUUCCACUCCAGCUUGCUUGCACGUUUUCAGAGAUUUAGAGAAACGCAUGGCGUCGAUUCGGACGCACGUGAGUCACCGCCUCGAUGCAGCGUGCACACGCAUCUUGGAAAGAAAGAGUCAUUUAGGAAAUUGACCGACAGAUCGAUAAGUAAGACGAUCUCUAGGGAGCAACGAGGAAGGGCGUACUCGUGAUAACAGCAAAUUAAAUUAGAGACCGGUUUAUCGCAGUGUUGCGACCGAUACCAGCAUCGAACCAGCUUACGAACUUCCAGUCCAUAUUGGCUAAGAUUAAAUUUCUUUCUAAAAUACCGUGUGAAUCUGACAAAACUUUUCUUCUCUUCGCUCCACUAUCGGAAUCCGUAUACGUAGAGAUAUAAACUUGACUCAAAUUAUUUUAUUUUUAGCAUUUUUCCUAAUAAUUCAUUGGCAAUAUUUUUGAACGAUUUAGACGAGGAUUGA
Bombus pyrosoma is the source of this 2383-nucleotide RNA transcript. RefSeq lists it as uncharacterized. NCBI's taxonomy places the organism in Eukaryota, Metazoa, Arthropoda, Insecta, Hymenoptera, Apidae. The record is from RefSeq and is a predicted model, not a curated record. The transcript has 2 exons.